RNAcentral lists this ribosomal RNA (481 nucleotides) under uncultured bacterium. RNAcentral describes it as "partial 16S ribosomal RNA". It matches the Rfam family "Bacterial small subunit ribosomal RNA", at positions 28 to 507 of the family's 1533-position model. The record is from RNAcentral.
GAUGAACGCUGGCGGCGUGCUUAACACAUGCAAGUCGAACGAAGCAUUUGCGACAGAUUUUUUCGGAAUGAAGUUGCUUAUGACUGAGUGGCGGACGGGUGAGUAACGCGUGGGUAACCUGCCUUGUACUGGGGGAUAGCAGCUGGAAACGGCUGGUAAUACCGCAUAAGCGCACAAUGUUGCAUGACAUGGUGUGAAAAACUCCGGUGGUAUAAGAUGGACCCGCGUCUGAUUAGCUAGUGGGUGAGAUAACAGCCCACCAAGGCGAGGAUCAGUAGCCGACCUGUGAGGGUGACCGGCCACAUUGGGACUGGGACACGGCCCAGACUCCUACGGGAGGCAGCAGUGGGGAAUAUUGCACAAUGGAGGAAACUCUGAUGCAGCGACGCCGCGUGAGUGAAGAAGUAAUUCGUUAUGUAAAGCUCUAUCAGCAGGGAAGAUAGUGACGGUACCUGACUAAGAAGCUCCGGCUAAAUACGUG